UCUCCUUUACGAGUUUGGGUCUUUUGUGGCUUAUCUGGGUUCGCUUGCGUUCCCGGUGUUUUACUUUGAGAAAAUUAGAGUGCUCAAAGCAGGCUUUUGCCUUGAAUAGUUUAGCAUGGAAUAAUAAAGUAGGACUUUGGUUCUAUUUUGUUGGUUUUAGGUACCAAAGUAAUGGUUAAUAGGAACAGUUGGGGGCAUUCGUAUUUAACUGUCAGAGGUGAAAUUCUU
This 228-nucleotide ribosomal RNA is filed under the name uncultured Theileria sp. Its description in RNAcentral is "partial small subunit ribosomal RNA". The stretch from base 41 to 228 matches the Rfam family "Eukaryotic small subunit ribosomal RNA", at positions 732 to 921 of the family's 1831-position model. Lineage: Eukaryota; Apicomplexa; Aconoidasida; Piroplasmida; Theileriidae. The record is from RNAcentral.